RNAcentral lists this ribosomal RNA (253 nucleotides) under uncultured bacterium. RNAcentral's name for it is "partial 16S ribosomal RNA". It matches the Rfam family "Bacterial small subunit ribosomal RNA", at positions 524 to 776 of the family's 1533-position model. The record is from RNAcentral.
CACGGGGGGAGCAAGCGUUGUUCGGAAUCACUGGGCGUAAAGGGCGCGUAGGCGGACAGUUUAGUCAGAGGUGAAAGCCCAGGGCUCAACCUUGGAACUGCCUUCGAUACUGCGGGUCUCGAGUCCGGGAGAGGUGAGUGGAAUUCCUAGUGUAGAGGUGAAAUUCGUAGAUAUUAGGAAGAACACCAGUGGCGAAGGCGGCUCACUGGCCCGGUACUGACGCUGAGGCGCGAAAGCGUGGGGAGCAAACAGG